GAUGAACGCUGGCGGCGUGCCUAAUACAUGCAAGUCGAACGCUGGAGAUCUAGCUUGCUAGAUCGAAGGAGUGGCGAACGGGUGAGUAAUACAUAAGCAACCUACCCACGAAGACUGGGAUAAUCUCUGGAAACGGGGACUAAUACCGGAUAGGUAAUCGGAAGGCAUCUUCUGGUUAUUAAAGGUUAAAAACACUGGUGGAUGGGCUUAUGGCGCAUUAGUUAGUUGGUGAGGUAACGGCCCACCAAGACGAUGAUGCGUAGCCGGCCCGGGGGGGUGAACGGCCACAUGGGGACUGGGACACGGCCCAGACUCCUACGGGAGGCAGCAGUAGGGAAUUUUCGGCAAGGGGGGCAACCCUGACCGAGCAACGCCGCGUGAGGGAAGGCGGCCUUCGGGUUGUAAAGCUCUGUUGUAAGGGAAGAACGGUAGAUAGAGAAUAUCUAAGUGACGGUACCUUAACAGAAAGCCACGGCUAACUACGUG
This 486-nucleotide ribosomal RNA is filed under the name uncultured bacterium. Its description in RNAcentral is "partial 16S ribosomal RNA". It matches the Rfam family "Bacterial small subunit ribosomal RNA", at positions 28 to 507 of the family's 1533-position model. The record is from RNAcentral.